GAUGAACGCUGGCGGCGUGCCUAAUACAUGCAAGUCGAGCGAACAGACGAGGAGCUUGCUCCUCUGACGUUAGCGGCGGACGGGUGAGUAACACGUGGAUACCCUACCUAUAAGACUGGGAUAACUUCGGGAAACCGGAGCUAAUACCGGAUAAUAUAUUGAACCGCAUGGUUCAAUAGUGAAAGACGGUUUUGCUGUCACUUAUAGAUGGAUCCGCGCCGCAUUAGCUAGUUGGUAAGGUAACGGCUUACCAAGGCAACGAUGCGUAGCCGACCUGAGAGGGUGAUCGGCCACACUGGAACUGAGACACGGUCCAGACUCCUACGGGAGGCAGCAGUAGGGAAUCUUCCGCAAUGGGCGAAAGCCUGACGGAGCAACGCCGCGUGAGUGAUGAAGGUCUUCGGAUCGUAAAACUCUGUUAUUAGGGACGAACAAAUGUGUAAGUAACUAUGCACGUCUUGACGGUACCUAAACAGAAAGCCACGGCUAACUACGUG
Molecule: ribosomal RNA, 497 nt
Filed under: uncultured bacterium
Lineage: Bacteria
Description: partial 16S ribosomal RNA
Rfam family: Bacterial small subunit ribosomal RNA
Source: RNAcentral